RNAcentral lists this ribosomal RNA (497 nucleotides) under uncultured bacterium. RNAcentral describes it as "partial 16S ribosomal RNA". It matches the Rfam family "Bacterial small subunit ribosomal RNA", at positions 28 to 507 of the family's 1533-position model. The record is from RNAcentral.
GACGAACGCUGGCGGCGUGCCUAAUACAUGCAAGUCGAGCGAACAGAUGAGGAGCUUGCUCCUCUGACGUUAGCGGCGGACGGGUGAGUAACACGUGGAUAACCUACCUAUAAGACUGGGAUAACUUCGGGAAACCGGAGCUAAUACCGGAUAAUAUAUUGAACCGCAUGGUUCAAUAGUGAAAGACGGUUUUGCUGUCACUUAUAGAUGGAUCCGCGCCGCAUUAGCUAGUUGGUAAGGUAACGGCUUACCAAGGCAACGAUGCGUAGCCGACCUGAGAGCGUGGUCGCCCACACUGGAACUGAGACACGGUCCAGACUCCUACGGUAGGAAGCAGUAGGGAAUCUUCCGCAAGGGGCGAAAGCCUGACGGAGCAACGCCGCGUGAGUGAUGAAGGUCUUCGGAUCGGAAAACUCUGUUAUUAGGGAAGAACAAAUGUGUAAGUAACUAUGCACGUCUUGACGGUACCUAAUCAGAAAGCCACGGCUAACUACGUG